This 468-nucleotide ribosomal RNA is filed under the name uncultured bacterium. Its description in RNAcentral is "partial 16S ribosomal RNA". It matches the Rfam family "Bacterial small subunit ribosomal RNA", at positions 28 to 507 of the family's 1533-position model. The record is from RNAcentral.
GACGAACGCUGGCGGCGUGCUUAACACAUGCAAGUCGAACGGAAAGGCCCUGCUUCUGCGGGGUGCUCGAGUGGCGAACGGGUGAGUAACAUGUGAGUAACCUGCCCUCGACUAUGGGAUAACUUUAGGAAACUGGGGCUAUUACCGGAUAGGAGCUCCUGCUGCAUGGUGGGGGUUGGAAAGUUUCGGCGGUUGGGGAUGGACUCGCGGCGUAUCAGCUUGUUGGUGGGGUAGUGGCUUACCAAGGCUUUGACGGGUAGCCGGCCUGAGAGGGUGACCGGCCAAAUUGGGACUGAGAUACGGCCCAGACUACUACGGGAGGCAGCAGUGGAGAAUAUUACACAAGGGGCGGAAGCCUGAUGCAGCAACGCCGCGUGCGGGAUGACGGCCUUCGGGUUGUAAACCGCUUUCGCCUGUGACGAAGCGUGAGUGACGGUAAUGGGUAAAGAAGCACCGGCUAACUACGUG